RNAcentral lists this long non-coding RNA (1219 nucleotides) under Monodelphis domestica (gray short-tailed opossum). RNAcentral's name for it is "lncRNA (ENSMODG00000041160.1)". The record is from RNAcentral. Lineage: Eukaryota; Metazoa; Chordata; Mammalia; Didelphimorphia; Didelphidae.
AAGCAGGAGCAGUGAAGAAUUUUCCUACACAUUUGAGGAGGGAGGAUGGCCAGUGACAAAUGUUGAAAAAGACCGAAAGGUCAACUGCUUGUAUUAUUCAAGUGGCAGGAGUGACACAGUGGCAAUACUGCUGGGCCUCUCAGAUUUGCUCAAAUUCAGCCUCAGAUACCUUGUCUUAGACAGGAAACUGGACACUCUUAGGCAAAAGCAGCUGCUUGUCCUACCAAGAACCAUGCAGAGAAGCCACCAAAGCUAGCAGGAGAGUCAUCAUUGUAAUAAUUAAAGAGACUGAAGAGGAUUGAAGAGGUCUAUGGAUGCCUGCCAGAUGAUACCAGUCAGAUGCAGGAUGUCAAGGCUCGAUCCUUCUAUGAGACCAUAAAGCUAAAGGUAUAGACAGAGAGCCUGAGUGAAUGGAGACAAAAAGUGAUGGAGACAAGAAUCUUGAGCUGAUGAAAUUGCUCACAUGAAACCAGGAAGAGCCUGUUCAGUGACAUAAAUGACUGAAUACUGCCUUGGUCAGAGAAGUUGAUUGAUUUCCUUUGACCCUGACCAACUCUUGGGCUGACUUCUCUGAUUUGGGGCCACUGGUGCUCAGUCAUUCUUUCAGUUGUGUCUGACUAUUUCCCCUUCUGAUAUUUUCUUGGCAAAGAUACAAGAGUGGAUUGCCAUUUUCUCCUCUAGCUCAUUUUAAAGAUGAGAAAACAGACAAACACUGUUAAGUGACUUGCUCAGAGUUACACAGGUAGGAAGUAUCUGAGGUCAGACUGGAACUCAGGAAGAAGAGUCUUCCUGACUCCAGGCCUGCAAAUCUAUCCACUGAGUCAUCUAGCUAGCCAUACUUGGACCACUGCUAAAAUUCUGUUGCAGUGUCCUGUCUCCUGCCUAACCCUUUGGUAGCCCAUAAGCUCUGGAAGAGAGGGGUAAGAGGGAAGGAGUUGGCUGGGUAUUUUAUUAUGACAAAUAAGCAAAGAAACAUUUAAACUUUAAAAAAGAAGAAAGAACUCUAUUCUUUGCUCAGGCAAUAGCCUUUGAAUUGUUUGUAAUUUACACAUAGGGAAACAAUUUUUUAAACAAGAGACAUCUAACUAAGACUGACUCCUUUAUUUGACUAUGAAGUCGGAGGAUCUGGGUUCCAUUUCCAAACUCUUUGACCUCUCUGGUCUUUAGUUUUCCUCACCUAUAAAAUAAAGGGGUUGAAAUAAAUGACCUAUAAGGUUCU